Molecule: RNA transcript, 1312 nt
Organism: Dermacentor andersoni
Lineage: Eukaryota; Metazoa; Arthropoda; Arachnida; Ixodida; Ixodidae
Source: RefSeq, a predicted model, not a curated record
AGCAACCAAACUGGCGGGAGCACGAUCGAGGCGCAGCAGAAUACAUGUAGCGCUGAGUAAUAUCGAGUUAAGGCGCACUCUGAACUGACUUUUAAGGGCAUCCCGAGCCGUUUUUCGUUUAUUACGCCGCCGUUAGCCCGAGUAGUGCCGCCACGCUCCAGCUGUUGCAUUUCGUGUAGGGCUACUGACAGAAUGCGGUUUCCAGAUGGCACGAUGGCCUCGACUGGAAUAAACGCACAGGACACCAAAGAUUGAUUCUUCAACACAAGCGAACCAAUGUGGACGUUCUUGUCAUCUGAAAAAGUUACGGUCGACUGUAAAGUGGAAGUGGUGAAAAGUAUAACUGACACUUACGUCAGCUUUCAAAGUUCUUUCAUCGUGAAAAACUUCAGGGCAAAUUUGACAAUUCUGGGGACAUUUAAGAUGAUGGACGCCGAGAAGAACAACAAUAAGUUUGACACUGUUCUGCUUUCCAACCCAGGUCGUCAGCCUUACGGAUACGAACGUCUUUUGUUCCAAACACCGGACAACAAAUGUGGUGUCUUUUUGGUGGCCAUAUAUGGUAGCAAGUAAAUACAAUCUGCGAUCUGAUAGCAUGGUUUCCUGGCGUCACCACUAUUGUCCUUUACCAGAAUCUGCGCUUGGACGAUGAGGUCGGACUGAGGGCUAUUAACCCGUCCCGCAUGUCCCGAAUGAAUCAGCUCUUGGGCACGAUGCCGGCCAUGGGAAUGGACAACUUGUCAUUGCGCAAGACGACUCUCAUCAACUUGCUCUCCAAGUCCCCGAAGCUGGCCGUGGUCAUGUCGCCAAAUGUGCAUGGGGCACUGUCUGCUAUGGAGACGGCAGCAGCUGCAAUCAAACGCCCGCCGGCCUCCUUUCAGCGCAAAGAACUAUUCCUAGGUUGUGCUAUCAUUCAUCACACUGGAGCCCCCCAAGUACUUGUGGCAAAGGGUUGUUCCGCCACAGAGAAAGCCCACCAACACUUCGCAGAAGUUGAACAUCUUGAACUAUCAGCCAGAUGUGAAUCUGUCCUCGAGAAAGUUGCCAGGUAUACCAAAGUCACGCACCUUACGCUCAUCUUCGGCUCGUCAAAAUCUACUUGCUCUUUCUAGCCUCACGUGACGAAAGUGCUAUCUGUACUCCACCUGGUCCACUUGUCACUUACAAACUUCAGUGAAGUGAAACUGUCAGUCAUCGCAAAUCAGUGUCCACAACUGGAGUUCCUUGGAAUAUGCGCAUGUGGUGUUGAAGAUGAAAACAGCUCUGGAAAUUUCGCCAACUUGGAACACCUUCGCAUCGGCAGUAACAUGAA